RNAcentral lists this long non-coding RNA (1846 nucleotides) under Canis lupus familiaris (dog). Its description in RNAcentral is "lncRNA (ENSCAFG00845015174.1)". Lineage: Eukaryota; Metazoa; Chordata; Mammalia; Carnivora; Canidae. The record is from RNAcentral.
AAAUUCUAAACUAGGGCAGCCCAUGUGGCUCAGUGGUUUAGCGCCGCCUUCAGCCCAGGCAUGAUCCUGGAGACCCCGGAUAGAGUCCCACAUCAAGCUCCCGGCAUGGAGCCUGCUUCUGUCUCUGCCUCUUUCUCAUUCUCUCUCACUCUUUGUGUGUCUCUCAUGAAUAAAUAAAAUCUUUUAAAAAAUGAAAAAAAAAGCUAAACUAGAAAUAAAAGAUGAAAAGGACAAUUUUAAAACUAAAAAAAAUUAAUAUUUUUUAAGUAAGAAAAGAGGCUAAAAAGGGAUUCAAAAUUGUCAGUAUGGGAGAUUAUCAAAGAAGAUCAACAUUCAAAGGGGGUCCAAGGAAGAAAACCAGCAAAAAGAACAAAAAUCCUGUAAUUCAAAACAAGUUUUCUAAACUAAAAAAAGUUUGAAAUUAAUACCAAAAUAACACUUUAAAUACCUGAGAAUAUUGAUCAGAAUAACCAAGACCAAGAUAGAUUAUACUAAAAUUACUGGACUUUAAAAAAAUAAGUUUUGGUACUGAGGCAAAAAAGCAUGGGACUUAUGAAGGAGAAAUAAUUAGGUUGUUAUCAAACUUUUCAACAGCUGCCAUCAUGCCAGAAGAAAAUUGAGUAGAGUCUGUUUUUACAAGAUUCAAAAAAAGAAAAUAUUAGCCAAACAUUUCAUAUCCUGCAAAACUGACCUGCAAGUAUAAAAGAUACAAAUUAUUUUUGGUAAAUCUCAAAAAGUAUUGUUCCUAUGUGCUCUUUCUAAGAAAUCAAAUAGAGAGUUUCAGACAACCAAAAUGACUACUGAGAUAUUAAUAUAAGGACAAGAGGUGAUUAUUAAAUAUAUAGUUGUUUGUAGAACAAAGACAAAAUAACAGUUGAAAAGGGGAGAGAGGGAUCCCUGGGUGGCUCAGUAUUAGUGCUUGCCUUCAGCCUAGGGCAUGAUCCUGGAGACCUGGGAUCCAGUUCCACAUCGGGCUCCCUGCAUGGAGCAUGCUUCUCACUCUGCCUGUGGCUCUGCUUCUCUCCCUCUGUGUUUCUCAUGAAUAAAUAAAUACAAUCUUUUAAAAAAAAAAAAAAAAGAAAGAAAAGGGGGGAGAUUAUAAUAUACAAUGGCUAGAUGAUCUCACAGUGUAGGUUAUACAUGACAUGAUAUAAAUAUGCCACAACCGUUUUCAAAAUGGGAGGAGAAGGGAGAUAGCAUUUAUAAAUUUUAAUUUUUUUAGUAUUUGUUGGUGAUAUUUGUAAUAUUAACCAUCAGUGGUAUUAGUAUUGUAAUUCUCGGACUAUUGUUGGUGUCAUAUAAGAAGUGAAUGAAAAAUAUGGAAUAUUCUAACUUUCUCAUUUCCUGUUACCUUGAGAAACAGAGUUCUUAUGUGAAAGACAGGAGAUAAAGACACAACACAAAAGAGGUUAACUAAAAACAUUGUGGUUAUGGAUUUAAAACAGAAAUAUUAGUAAGAACUCAUAUAUAUAUAUAUAUAUAUAUAUAUAUAUAUAUAUACUUCCACUAAAAAGGCUUAGAAACAGCAACUAUAUUGGGAUCUUGAAAUAUUUCCCAUUAAAAGAGAUUGAGGGUCCUUGGAAAAAUGUCUGAUUCCAGGAACUGAGGUCUGGAGAGGAAAAUGGAGUAUCUUGACAUAUCAACUAUCAAGAAAGGUAUUAAAAAAAAAAAAAAACUAUUAGGAUCAUAUCCAAGGAGCCAAUUUGAAGAAUACUCACAGCCCAAGUUGGGACAGUUGGAGCUUCAGUAAAGAUAAAAAUUGCAAUGGAUUGAAAUUCUUCAGAUAUGUUAAAGUCUAUGAGUUCAUUACAACAGUUUAAAAAUCUAAUUUUUGAAAGAUGACAGG